Molecule: small nucleolar RNA, 139 nt
Organism: Elgaria multicarinata webbii
Lineage: Eukaryota; Metazoa; Chordata; Lepidosauria; Squamata; Anguidae
Product: small nucleolar RNA SNORA17
Exons: 1
Source: RefSeq, a predicted model, not a curated record
CAUGCCCCUAGAGGCUUUGCAAGCGCAGCUGCUGUGCUGUGCUUGCGUCAUUAGGCGGCAGAGAGAAACGGGCUAUGUCUACGCUCCGUGCCCUGAAAAGCAAACUGUGGGCACUUAGAAUGAUUAAUAGCCUGACAAG